GUGUUAAAACUUUAAGAAUUUGUGCUGAUGAAUGUGUGAUUUCUGAUGGAUUUACCUUAUCUCUGUGGUGCUUAAGAGCCACAGAAUUUGUUUCUAUCAAAAUAUACUCAUAAAACUUUUGUGUAUUUAAAGGAUUAUAUGGUUGAAAGUGCCAUCCAUUUGGGAAAUUUUUUUUUACUAUUUGCCUAGGGGUAUUUUCGAAAUACUCAUCUUCUAUAGUAAGGAUUGGUGUUUAUCAAUAUAUUUUGAAAAGGAGGUUUUUCUAGGAAAGCUUUGAAGU
RNAcentral lists this long non-coding RNA (280 nucleotides) under Elaeis guineensis (African oil palm). Its description in RNAcentral is "long non-coding RNA (EGUI_LNC051113)". Lineage: Eukaryota; Viridiplantae; Streptophyta; Magnoliopsida; Arecales; Arecaceae. The record is from RNAcentral.